CACACCGGGUCGUAGGAGCCGCUUCAUAGCAGGAGACAGAAAAUAGAUAUUUCAUACUUCACUUUCCCCGUCCAACACCCGUGGAAAUGUUUAACAGUCUUCUCAGGGAAUUUGACGAGGACCCUUUCUUGUCCUCGUCAAGGGAUCCAUUCCAAGCACACAAUACCCGUGUACAACAGAUGAUGCGGAGUUUCUCAGAGCCCUUCGGUCGGGACUUCAUGCCCAGUCUGACUGGCGGGCGGGACAGGGGCCACGUAUCCGGGGGCCAACUCAACACUAGCAUGGUGCCACGGGAGGAC
This is a long non-coding RNA of Salvelinus namaycush (lake trout), 299 nucleotides long. RefSeq lists it as uncharacterized. The transcript is spliced from 3 exons. NCBI's taxonomy places the organism in Eukaryota, Metazoa, Chordata, Actinopteri, Salmoniformes, Salmonidae. The record is from RefSeq and is a predicted model, not a curated record.